UGGGGGAUAUUGCACAAUGGGCGAAAGCCUGAUGCAGCAACGCCGCGUGAGGGAAGACGGUUUUCGGAUUGUAAACCUCUGUCUUCGGUGAAGAAAAAAAUGACGGUAGCCGAGGAGGAAGCCACGGCUAACUACGUGCCAGCAGCCGCGGUAAUACGUAGGUGGCGAGCGUUGUCCGGAAUUACUGGGCGUAAAGGGAGCGCAGGCGGGGAGACAAGUCAGCUGUGAAAACUAUGGGCUUAACCCAUAAACUGCAGUGGAAACUGUUUUUCUUGAGUGGAGUGGAGGUAGGCGGAAUUCCGAGUGUAGCGGUGAAAUGCGUAGAUAUUCGGAGGAACACCAGUGGCGAAGGCGGCCUACUGGGCUCUAACUGACGCUGAGGCUCGAAAGUGUGGGGAGCAAACA
This 405-nucleotide ribosomal RNA is filed under the name uncultured prokaryote. RNAcentral's name for it is "bacterial SSU rRNA". It matches the Rfam family "Bacterial small subunit ribosomal RNA", at positions 355 to 774 of the family's 1533-position model. The record is from RNAcentral.